GGAUUAGAUACCCUGGUAGUCCACGCCGUAAACGCUGGGCACUAGGUGUCGGGAGGCUUGGUCCUUUCGGUGCCGCAGCUAACGCAUUAAGUGCCCCGCCUGGGGAUUACGGCCGCAAGGCUGAAACUCAAAGGAAUUGACGGGGGCCCGCACAAGCGGUGGAGCAUGUGGUUUAAUUCGAAGCAACGCGAAGAACCUUACCUGGGCUUGACAUGUCGGUGGUACUCUCUUGGAAACAGGAGGGGACCCUUCGGGGAGCCGUCACAGGUGCUGCAUGGCUGUCGUCAGCUCGUGCCG
RNAcentral lists this ribosomal RNA (297 nucleotides) under uncultured bacterium. RNAcentral's name for it is "partial 16S ribosomal RNA". It matches the Rfam family "Bacterial small subunit ribosomal RNA", at positions 775 to 1067 of the family's 1533-position model. The record is from RNAcentral.